Molecule: ribosomal RNA, 480 nt
Filed under: uncultured organism
Description: partial 16S ribosomal RNA
Rfam family: Bacterial small subunit ribosomal RNA
Source: RNAcentral
CGUACACUCCUACGGGAGUCAGCAGUGGGGAAUUUUGGACAAUGGGCGAAAGCCUGAUCCAGCCAUGCCGCGUGCAGGAUGAAGGCCUUCGGGUUGUAAACUGCUUUUGUACGGAACGAAACGGCCUUUUCUAAUAAAGAGGGCUAAUGACGGUACCGUAAGAAUAAGCACCGGCUAACUACGUGCCAGCAGCCGCGGUAAUACGUAGGGUGCAAGCGUUAAUCGGAAUUACUGGGCGUAAAGCGUGCGCAGGCGGUUAUGUAAGACAGUUGUGAAAUCCCCGGGCUCAACCUGGGAACUGCAUCUGUGACUGCAUAGCUAGAGUACGGUAGAGGGGGAUGGAAUUCCGCGUGUAGCAGUGAAAUGCGUAGAUAUGCGGAGGAACACCGAUGGCGAAGGCAAUCCCCUGGACCUGUACUGACGCUCAUGCACGAAAGCGUGGGGAGCAAACAGGAUUAGAAACCCUGGUAGUCCCAUGAU